CCUACGGGUGGCAGCAGUGAGGAAUAUUGGUCAAUGGUCGGGAGACUGAACCAGCCAAGCCGCGUGAGGGAUGAAGGUACAGAGUAUCGUAAACCUCUUUUGUCAGGGAACAAAGGCGUGGACGUGUCCCCGGAUGAGUGUACCUGAAGAAAAAGCAUCGGCUAACUCCGUGCCAGCAGCCGCGGUAAUACGGAGGAUGCGAGCGUUAUCCGGAUUUAUUGGGUUUAAAGGGGGCGCAGGGGGUCUGUUAAGUCAGCGGUAAAAGCUGGGGGCUCAACCCAGACCCGCCGUUGAAACUGGCAGUCUCGAGUUGGAGAGAGGUAGGCGGAAUGCGUGGUGUAGCGGUGAAAUGCAUAGAUAUCGCGCAGAACCCCGAUUGCGAAGGCAGCAUGCCGGCUCCACACUGACGCUGAGGCACGAAAGUGUGGGUAUCGAACAGGAUUAGAUACCCUUGUAGUC
Molecule: ribosomal RNA, 459 nt
Filed under: uncultured bacterium
Lineage: Bacteria
Description: partial 16S ribosomal RNA
Rfam family: Bacterial small subunit ribosomal RNA
Source: RNAcentral